AUUGAACGCUGGCGGCAGGCCUAACACAUGCAAGUCGAGCGGAUGAAGGGAGCUUGCUCCUGGAUUCAGCGGCGGACGGGUGAGUAAUGCCUAGGAAUCUGCCUGGUCGUGGGGGAUAACGUCCGGAAACGGGCGCUAAUACCGCAUACGUCCUGAGGGAGAAAGUGGGGGAUCUUCGGACCUCACGCUAUCAUAUGAGCCUAGGUCGGAUUAGCUAGUUGGUGGGGUAAAGGCCUACCAAGGCGACGAUCCGUAACUGGUCUGAGAGGAUGAUCAGUCACACUGGAACUGAGACACGGUCCAGACUCCUACGGGAGGCAGCAGUGGGGAAUAUUGGACAAUGGGGGAAAGCCUGAUCCAGCAAUGCCGCGUGUGUGAAGAAGGUCUUCGGAUUGUAAAGCACUUUAAGUUGGGAGGAAGGGAAGUAAGUUAAUACCUUGCUGUUUUGACGUUACCAACAGAAUAAGCACCGGCUAACUUCGUG
RNAcentral lists this ribosomal RNA (484 nucleotides) under uncultured bacterium. Its description in RNAcentral is "partial 16S ribosomal RNA". It matches the Rfam family "Bacterial small subunit ribosomal RNA", at positions 30 to 507 of the family's 1533-position model. The record is from RNAcentral.